CUACGCUCAGUCAACGCACUUCACCUCGAUCGCAAGGAUGGUUCUCUUCGCUCAACUCGUGUUUUUCUUCAUCGAAGUUAAUAAGAUAAAAGAAAAAAAAAACUCGUACCGUUCGCGAUUCAACAAACUGCACAACAAACAUCAAGAGGCUUCGAAUUGGUUAUGAAAGAAUGUGAUUCUGAAAAGUAAAAAAAAAAGGAGGAGUCUCUUCCCAUGCAGGCAAGACAUUUUACCUGGGAGGAGUCAAAAAGAUACCGACCGCUGCCUCCCACACGUCAAUCCAAGGGACCGAAGCCUGUGUGGAAAUUACUGUUCCUAUGGAACGUCGUCACUUAAAAACUACCAUAUUAGGUGUUUCUGGUAACGUUUGCUCAACAAGAUCUGAAAGCGGAUCGUGUGGACGACCAUGAAGUAGCAUCGUGACUGGUGUGUGUCGAUAUCAAGUUAUGGUGGCUUGUGUUGUUUCGACUCGGCUGUGGGGUUGCUUUCCACUAGGAAUGGGCAGAACGUAGUUUUUAAUUUAUCAUCAGUCUUUAGGGCAUGCCCCUCUGUAUUGCCCUUGGAACAUGGGUACCCAAGUUUUCUGCAUUAGACCCCCGUGUUGAUUUUUAAGAAAUGCUCACCCAAUCUUUUAUCUAUAUACACAGUAUAUAAGUUAUGCAGUACGAUGUCUCUGUAUUUACCAUGAAUUAAUUUAAUUGUUCAGAAUUACACAUAUCCGUUGGUACCUAACACUAAAAACCAAUAAACCAAAAGUAAUC
Penaeus chinensis is the source of this 761-nucleotide long non-coding RNA. RefSeq lists it as uncharacterized. The record is from RefSeq and is a predicted model, not a curated record. Lineage: Eukaryota; Metazoa; Arthropoda; Malacostraca; Decapoda; Penaeidae. The transcript has 2 exons.